UGGGUGUGAGUCGUGUGACUAUCC
Molecule: non-coding RNA, 24 nt
Filed under: Arabidopsis thaliana (thale cress)
Lineage: Eukaryota; Viridiplantae; Streptophyta; Magnoliopsida; Brassicales; Brassicaceae
Source: RNAcentral